CCGAAAACUAUGCAACCUAAAUGGAUAUUACAGACAUUCCUGAUAUUUGCAACUAUCCUGAAAGACCCUGUUAUAACUAUCUGUAACUGCAGUUCUGCCUCCAAACCAAAGAGGCUGAUCAACUAAACAUUUAACUUGUAUUACUUAAUCCUUGAUAUUCGGUUUGGUUCAGACUAGUAGUAUUUUAUUUACCUGUAACCUAUAAUUUCAGUUCUAGGUUUCCCUUUUCUUUAUUUACCUGUAAUACCACUUCUAAGCUAUGUUACUGAAUA
Pelobates cultripes (western spadefoot toad) is the source of this 272-nucleotide non-coding RNA. Lineage: Eukaryota; Metazoa; Chordata; Amphibia; Anura; Pelobatidae. The record is from the annotation of a GenBank genome assembly.